Long non-coding RNA from Passer domesticus (house sparrow), 10347 nucleotides. RefSeq lists it as uncharacterized. The record is from RefSeq and is a predicted model, not a curated record. The transcript has 2 exons. NCBI's taxonomy places the organism in Eukaryota, Metazoa, Chordata, Aves, Passeriformes, Passeridae.
GAUUAUGCAAAUCCGGGAGCGAUCGCUCGCUGGGAUUGGCGGACGGCAGCCGCGAGCAGUUUGCUCGGUGACGUCACCGCCGGGGGAUGGGUUGGAGCGAUGGCGGCGGUGUCCGGCGAGAGGGGACAGGGAGCGGGAAUGUGACCGGGAAUGGGGACAGGGACCAGGAGUGGGACAGGAAAUACGGGACCGAGACCUGGAAUGGGACUAGAAAUACGGGAAAGGGACCGGGAACGGGAGUGGGAAUGGGAAUGGGCCGGGGAUGGGAACCGGGCAAGAGAGACACGGGGAAAAGGAGCACCGGGAACCGGGCUUGGGCGUGGGGGUGGCACCGGGGCGAGGGGGGACCGGGGACAGGAGCGACACUGGGGCGAGUGGACAGCGGGGACCGGGCCGGGGGAGUUAAAUGCUGCAGGGGAUGCUGUGCACCUGCACUGUGGGCAGAGGGGACACCAGAACGGGGUGGGGGGGACACGGGACAGGGGUGACACCGAGGACAGCGAGUUCUGACCGGGAGCUUAACGGUCACAGGGGACACUGUGGGCUGGGCAGCGGGGACACUGGAAGAGAGGAGGGACACCGAACAGCGGGGACACGGACCAGGGGGUGACACCGAGCAAGGGGAGCACCAGACCGAGGUGACACCGGCUCAUCAACCAGCUGGUGGUGGCCUUCAAGGAGGACAACACAGUGGCCUUCAAGCACCUGUUCCUCAAGGGCUACGAGGACGGCACUAAUGACACCCAGGCCAUCUACACCCAUGGGGACCACCUGGAGCACUGACCUUUGUCUUUGAGAAGGUGGCAUGGGGACACUGGGAAGGGUUGGGGACAUCAGGGGAGUUGGGGACAUUGUGGGGCUUGAGGACAAGGGGACCUCCUGGAGCAUGUGGCCUAUGCCCUUGAGAAGGUGGCACAGGGACACCAGACAGGGUUGGGGUCACUGGCAGGGGUUGGGGACACAGUGGUGGUUUGGGGACAUGGAGGUUCUCAGGGCUGUGGAGAUGACACCAGGGUGAUUUGGGGACACUGAGGUACCACAGGGCCACCUCCAGCCCCGUGUCCCUGUCCCCACAGUAUUUGGCUGUCUCCAACAAGACCCUUGGCCACCACAUUUUGGGAACACAGAGAUGUUUUGGGGACAUGGAGAUAUUUGAGUAAACGGGGAUUAUUUGGGACUCUCAAGGUGCUACCACCAGCACUGCUGUCCCUGUCCCCACAGUACCUGGCAGUCCCCAAUGAGACCUUUGGCCACCACACUUAUGCCUGAGGACAUGGGGAUGUUUUGGCACUGUGAGGUGGUUUGGGGCCAUCAAGGUGCCCCAGGGCCACCUCCAGCCUUGGUGUCCCUGUAGAACCUGGGUGUCCACAAUAGGACCCUGGGCCACUGUGCCCAUGGUGGCACCAGGGGUGGCACCAGGCUCCAGCUGUGCCAGCACUUCUUCCACGGGGUGGACAUCGAGCCCAGCAACGACACCUUCAACAUCGACCCCAGCGUCGUCACUGGGGGUUGGGGUGCGGGGUUUGGGGAUGGGGAUUUGGGGUGCAGGGUGCUGGGUUUGAGAUUUGAGGUUUGGGUUUGGGGUUUGGGAAUUGGGGUUUGGGAUGGUCCCACGGGUUUGGGGUUUACGAUUUGACACUUGGGGAUUGGGAUGGUCUUAGGUUGUUUGGGGUUUGAGAUUCAGGCAUUUGGAUGGUCUCAGGGGAUUUGGAAUGGUCCCAGGUGAUUUGAUAUUUGGGGUUUGGGAGGGUCUCAGGGGAUUUGGGAGUUGGGAUGGUCUCAGAGGAUUUGGGAUGCUCUCAGGGCAUUAGGGGUGGUCCAAGAGGUUUGGGAGCUGGGAUUUGGGGUUAGGGUUUGGAUUUGAGGUGCAGGGUUUGGCAUAGUCCCUGGGCAUUUGGGGAUUGGGAUUUGGGAUGUUGCCUGGCAUUUGGGAGCUGGGAUUUGGGGUUUGGAUGUGGGAGCUGGGAGUUGGGAUUUGGGAUGGUCCUGAAGCAUUCAGAAUGGUCCCGGGGCAUUUGGGAUUCAGGAUUUGGGAAGUCUCAGGGGCUUUGGGCUUCCGGCAUUCCCUGACCCCAAUCCCAACCCCACAGAGAUCCUGGGAGUACACCCUGGGGCCCCCCAGCUGCAGGUGCUGGAUGGCACUAAUGGCAACUUCACCCUCCAAUUCCACAGAUAAAUCCCAAAACCCCCCAAAAUUCCUGAUAAUCCCACUUAUGGGUGUUUCCCAUCCCUGAAAUCCCAGUGUGGGAUUUGUGUUCACUUUUCCCAGAUUUCUGCGUGGCGUUUUGGGGUGGAAUUUUCCCUUUCCCAUGUUUAUUCUUGAGAUUUUGGGAACUCCUGGGAUUUUUUUUGAAGGGUUUUCAGGUGGAAUUUUCCAUUCCCAUUGGGUACUUGGGGAUUUUGAGGAGGAAUUUUUCCUUUGCCCAUUGUUUAUUUGGGAUUUUGGGGUGGGUUUUUCCUUUUUUUUUGGGUCUUUUUGGAUGGAAAUUUUCCUGGUGGUUUUUGUUUUUUUUUUUUUUUUUCUGGUUCUUUGAGAACUCCUGGGGUUUUUUUGGGAUUUUGGGGCCUUCUGCUCAUACGAACAGGGGUCAUGAUUGUUCAUUAGCUGAUCUCAGAGUACAAAAACAACAUGGUGAGAGGAUUUCAGUAUCAGUCAAAACAAAUGCACCUUUUAUUGAAUGCCCACAGCAAAUGUGAUAGAGGGAUUUAGAAAGGAGAUAAAGGAUAAAGAGAGAGAGAGAGAGAAAAAGGGGAAAGGGUAUUGCUACCAACACAGAGACGAAAUUCUCCAUGGUCCGGGCACGGGAAGAAUUGUCACGUCAAGGAGAAUCUCAAAAGUUCUGGUUAACUCAAGGGUCUAUUAUAGUUCUUUACAUGAGGGGGGAACAGGUAACAAAGAACAAGUCUCUUGAAAUUGCUGCAGGGGAGCAGAUACAAUGAAGAAUAAGGGUAUUGAAGCCAAUAAGGGGGAACAGGUACAGAUAGUCCAUGUUCUCAGCAGUGAGCAGGACCCACUGUUUUCUUGGUCCAGCGAACACACCUGUAGGCAACACUUUGCUCACUUCAGUCUGGCCAGCACCCCCGUGUCAGAAUUAGAGGGAUCUCAGUCUCAGUCCUUGGGUGGGGGCUUCAAUCUCCCUCUGUCGCAGUGGUAGUGAAGCAGAUGAAGGAUUUUCCAUGGGGGGCUACCAAAGUUGCCCCAGCAAGUUCAUUUGGCCAAGAUGUGGGAAAAUUCAUGGGCUAUUAUCAUGAAGCAGGUGCAAGCAUAAAGGGCACGUUGCCCCCUUAACCAGGCCCUGCUAGAAGCAGUCACUGCAGACACAGCUGCAAAUAAUCACUUGGCAGGCCAGAAUUCUGCUCAGGGGCCUCAGGAUUUUGGUGUGCAUCCUCCUCAAGCAGGCCAGAAUUCCGAUCAGGGUCCUCAGGGUCCCGGUCUCUGUCCUUGAGACAGUCAUGAGGCAAAUGAGGGGAACUUCAGACCAUCUUUCACAUCACUCGGUGACUCAUGACAGUCUUCAAAGGGUCUUCAUCAGCAGGGUUCCGUAAUAUUGUUGCAAAGUCUUCAGGACUCGUCAUGUUGGUAGCAUAUCCCAGAAAACAGAAUCAGUAUGUAGAGAGAGAGAGAAAAGAAGAAAAAGAAAAGAUAGAAAAAGGGGAAAAGGAAAUAAUAAACAAAUACAAUUAAUUAAACAAUAUUAUUUUUAAACAAUUUUUUCAAAUGAUCAAAACACGAAUAAUCAAAGGCAACAAAGCAAUAAACAAAUACAAUAAGUAUUAAUUUAACAUAAUUUUUCAAAACAAAUCACCAAAAAUCAAAAGUAAUUUUCACAAAAUCACAAAAGAGAAUUAAAGAUUAUUUCAAAACAGAUACUCUAAUUUAUAAUUGCCUUGUGUCAACAGCCUUGGGGAUGUCUACAGUGAAGAGGACAUCAGCCAAGUUGUGUGCAUUAAUUAUAGACUUUAAUUUUGUUAGCCGUUUCAGCAUUCUCCAAUUCAUAACAAACAAGAUUGCUGAUAAAACCAAUCAAAACUAGAAUCAAAAGGAUAAUGAUGGGAUGACAUAUAUUGUUCAGGAUACUUGUGGCAGUAGGUGACCACCCAAAAAGAGUAUCCCACCACCUGUGCUUGGCAUCUUUCUUUACUCUUUCCAUGACAUGGUGUAUUUGUCUCACGUUGUGAUGAACAGUUACCAGGGUUUUCUGUCAGAACCCAAGACAUCCCUCUGGGUGCCCUGGAUGGCUCAAAGCCCUGGCAGGGGGUUUGGAGACCCUGGCAUGCAGCCAAAGACCCCUGUGGCUUUGAGUUUGACCCAUGGAGCAAAUUACCAACUUUAUAUGAAGAAUUACAAAUCACAAAAGUUUAAGUAGCAUAACAGUAGUUGUCACAGGGUGAAAUUUUGAAGAAUUCUACUAUGGGGGUCUAGGAGACAAGAUGGAGGGACUUGGGUGUUGUCCUGUUCUUCUUCCUUCUUCUUCCUAGCCUCCAUCUUCUUGGCGAUGGUGGCAUUUUAAGAUUGGUUUAGAGUAGAAAGUCACUGUCUAACGUAGAUGAUAGGUAUUAGAAAAUAACUGUAAAUAAAGUACACAUAGGUUAUAGUAUAAAAGACAACACCACCCCUGUGGGUGGGGAGUGUGCCUCAGACUGACCUGCAGAACAGACCUUGGCAGGCCAGACAGAAAAUGUUUUAGAUAAGGAAUAAUAAACAACCUUGAGAACGACAGCUGAAGACUUCUGAUUUCUUCUCGGACAACUGGGUUUGGGAAAAGAGACUUUUUUAACACACCUUGGGGUUGUCUCAACCAGAGAAAACCCCAAGAGUUUUUUGUCCAUUCUUGAUCUUUCCCAAAAUUUCUAUUAAGUCUUGAUGGAGCAACAAUUGCCUUACCAAAGUGAGGUUUAUCCCAAUGGGAAUAGGCAUCAGUUUGUGAAUCAGCAUGUAGUUGGAUUGUAAAAGGUAGUGAGAGGUAACUGGAACUUCAUAAGAAAAAUCAAGUCCUGCAAUCUUAGUAAAGUUACAAGCACAAAAAUUGGAAUGAUUUUUAGUAUCCACUACUACAUUUUCUACGAAUAUAAUAUCACAAGCAGUUCUAAAGCAUUCAUACCCAUUGCCUAUGUAUAUAAGGACUGUUUUAGAAGUCUUGUUAGGACGAAUUUCAAAGUGACAGAUGAAAUAAAUGGGCAGGAGAUCUUUCUCCUUUUAAAUGACUUUAUUAAAAAGAAUCAGCUCAGGUGGGGCACGGAGGAGGAGGAGGAUGCAGCUUUGUCCACUGGUCUGCAGGAAGAGCUGGGGAUUCUGUCCUCACGAGAGAUUAGGAGAUUCCACCUUUUUGGUCCAACACCCCAGGUCAUCUCUUUAAUCAACAUCUUUCAGGUUAGGGUGAGAAGCAAAAAGGAUCCAGGCAGGCACUGGACUACGCUCCCAUCAUUAGACGUCACUUAGGUCACUUAGUUCUAUGUUGGAUCGUAAUUUUUAGGGGUUUUCCUGGAAAACUGCAAACUUUGGUGCAAUGCAUUUCUCAUCUGCAUACUAGCUCUGAUGCCACUCCCAUUCUCCUGGUACCUGCAGGGUCCUGGUAAGCAUCAGGGGGACAAUGGUUAAUCACCAACUAUUAACAGGUAAUUGAAGAAGAACUCUUAACAAUGAAGCUAACUUAACAGCACUGGACUAACUUGUUUUACUCUGCAACCUUAAAAAAAAUAGAUAACUUUUUAUUCAUAACAACAGAUAUUUUGCUCUGUGUCCAAACUAAUGUCUUGAGCUAUGAUUGCAUUCACAGAUGAACCUUUGUUGUUAUUGGACAAUACAAGAUUCCAAAUUAACAGUUUGCCAUUUUUCAGCAAUUUGACAGGCCCAUUCCCUAUGCUUGGAAGGAUAGAGAAGAGGUCCAUCAUGAUUCAGCCCUAAUGCAAUAAUAGGAAAUAUCAAAUGCGCUGAGGCAUUACGUAUGGUUAACACAAAAGCUGUGGCUGUGUUUGAAAUGGGGUCAUAAGUAAAAUUCACCAAGUUCCACCAGGACUGGAAUUCUCUUUCAAAAUCGAUGGCACUGUCCCUAAUUAUUUUCUGAAUUUCAGUAGGAAAAGUGCUUUCUUCACCUUCUUUUUAAUUGAGGCAGCAACCUUCUCCAUCCACAAUUGUGCUUGGAUACAGCUGAGAGCCAAAGAAACGUUGUUUUGUGUAGCACUGAGUGCAUCAAUUACCAAUUUGUGAUCAUUUACAUUUACCUUCUCCCAAUUUGGUAAAAUGUUUGAUAGCAACUACUGGUGUGUUCCCAAAGCCAAUAAGGAUGACUACAGUGGUUGUUAUUUGGUCAAAUCUUUAGUUGUGGCAGCCAAUUUAUUCAUUAGUACUUCUAAAUCAAUACUAUUUAGAAUUCCCAAACCUGUUGCCACAACACCGGUUAUGUCUCUUGGCAUCCAUUUUUUAAAAGAGCUUCAUUUUCGCAGCCAGGUCAUCCAACCCUCAAAGGAAGCCUGCAAGACAGGCGAACAGGACGGCUGAAUUUCAGAUACAUUGUUUUGCAUCAGCAAUUUGACUUGUUUAGGAGACCGUGUUGGAUUGAACAAUAUUUGUUGUUUAUUGGAGUUUACCAAUAUUACUGACAGGACUGCUUUGGUCCGUCUGGCUUCGGUUGCUGACCAAAUAGCAGCACCUGUGGUCCUUCCUCCCCAGAGACGCCACUCAGUACCUGUGGUCACAGCUGGGCACAUGGAGACAAGUCCGGGCAUGCCCUGAGCACCAGAGCUUGCGGGCUGGAGUUUGCUGUUGAGGGGGUCACUCCUCAGGCCUUCCUGAGCUAGAGAAACCUUUGAGGCGAGGUGAAGAAAGGAGUGGUCCUGAUGGAGAGUUUUCAAUCCAGAGUUUUAUUUUGGAGGCACGGCUUCUGAAUCCUGCAACAACUCCACUAAACUUCUCCCAACAGAACUCUCCACCAGAACCCCGACAGCGUGGUCUGCUUGUCCUUUUACCUGGGGAGAGGGGCAGGGGAGGGGACCCAGGGACCACCAGCCAGGCACAGGGGAGGGGGUCUCAGGUGAGAGGGACACCUGGGGGGUGGAGAGCAUCCUUUGAACCUGCCAGUCGCUCAAUGAUGCUCUCCUUGGAAUUUCUGGGUUGACAGACCGUGCCCAGCAGGGGUCAAGGGUGGGGAAAGGAAGGGUGAUUGACACCCCACCUGGGGAAGAAAAUUUCAGGGAGAAAUCAGGGGAAACUGAGGCAAGUCAUGACAUCACACUGCAACAGUUGUUGACCAGUUUUCCUGAUUAUAUAUGGUCCAAUUUCAAAAAUUCUUGGGCAGAGCAUGACCGGUGAUUGGGCUGGAGUGGUGAUAGUAGAAAACUGGGUCAUAGCAGUUAUUACAAAUUUGAAAGAAAGGCCUUCAGUAUUUCUGGACCAAAGACAAACUACUUCUGCGGUUUAUGUUAAUGUAAAACUGUGCCAACAGUCUUGUACUCUUGGGUGUGUACAAACCUGUUCAUGCUUAUUUGCCUGAUCUGUUGAAACACUGAUUGAGAUUGCCUUACUAUAGGUAGUUCCGUUAAUCAUUAGCAUCCUAUGCUAAUUUCUUCUCCCACUAUCCCUUGAAACUUCCAGGUUUUUUGUUUUUCCCAUUCCUGCCUAGUGUUGAUUUCAAUAUCUGAUUUUCAUGCAUAACAACACUCGAUAGGUUUAAACCCUUUCAAUUUCCCAUGGAUUCGGUAAAGUGAACAAAAGCCUGGGACUAAGGCCAUUUGGUAACAUACUGCCUAAGGGGGCUCUCAGUCCCUUCUACCAAUUGGAGUAUAACUAUUGUACUUAAUCUGGGCUUCGUAGUCUCAGUCCCUUCUACCCACUGGGAUGUAACUACUGUACUCAAUGUGAGCUUUGUGCUCUCAGUCCCUUCUACCCACUGGGAUGUAACUACGGUACUCAGUGUGGGUUUUGUUAUAGCGGUUAUCUUAAAUUUAUAAACUAAGCCUUUUAAACCUAACAGGUCAGUCAAGUUAUUUUGCCAGUGGCAUGUCACAUAAGUUGGUUUAGCUAAAGUGAAAUUAUGCCAGCAAUCAAUUGGUUCAUUUUUACAGUCCUUUGUAAUUGCAACAUUGUUAGUUUUGGGACCUAGAGUGUAAUUACCAACAUACUCCAGGUUGUCCAGGGUGAUGUGCUGGAUUUUUGGAAUCGUCAGGUCCCCGUAGUGAGGGAAUGAUGCUUGGAGGUGUCAGGCAAAAGGCAGUGAUUUUGGGACAUCCAUUCACCUCCCAUCUACUGUUCACUCCUUUAACAGCUUCCCAUAAUCGAACAUCCCAAUUUCCCUCCUGUGACUUCAGAAGUCAUUCAUUUCAAAAUACCAUUGGUCCUUUCUACAAUCCCGUUAGCUUGAGGGUAGUAAGGAAAGUGGAAAGUCCACUUAAUUCCUUCACCUUUUGCCCAAUCCUGUACACCUCUAGCAGUGAAGUGGGACCCGUUGUCAGAUUGAAUUUUCUGUGGCUUUGGGAAAGUUCCAAACCACCCGUGCCAAGCUUUAGCCAUAUUAUCACCUGUAGCUCUUUUAAAAGCAUCAGCUUGAACCAACCCAGAUACAAUCUCUGCUCCUACUAGCACAAAGUGUUUACCUCCUGACUUCUUAAAGGGGCUGAUAUAAUCUACUUGCCAUGCAUUCCAUAAGCCUUUAUGCUUUUUUAAAUGCAGAGGGUCAUCUUCUAAAGGAUGUCUCUCUCCAGUCACCUGCAACGCUGCUCACAGGCUGAUAUGCAUGUUUUUUAUCCUUUUGGGGCCUGUGAUAGUUGUGAUUAAUAUAUCUCCAGAUUUAUUUUUAGUGAGCAUUCUUAAAUAACCCAGCCUCUGCCCCUUCGCCCACCUGUAAGUGGCAGAGAUAUUAGUUUCCUGAAAACCUUGUUGGUUUUGGUUCACUGUCUGUGCUCUGAAGGAGAGGCUGGGGGACUGUUGUGCUAUUUAGAUACUGAGAGAGGAGCUGCAAGAGGGUUAAUUUUGGCUCACUGCCAGUGUUCUGAGAGGGAGACUGGGGGAGGGUUCCACUGCCUAGAUUUUGAGAGAGAAGCUGGGAUGAGGUUAAUUUUGGCUCCUUGCCUAUGUUUUGUUAGAGAGGCUGGGGGGGAUUAGAGUGUUGGAGGAGGUGUGUGUUGGUUCCUGAGAAGGGAGAAGUGCACUGGGUUGAGCCAAUGGAUUCGGUUUUCCAUAGUGCCAAUUGUUUAUUAUUUUCUGCAAUUUAUCGAGGGGCAAACCAUCCAUCACCUCUUUGAGGACCCCCUUUUUAAUUCCCAACAACUACCAACAGUGGUGGUUAGAGAUCUGUUUUCCCUUCUCUACAUUUUACGUGUGAGAAGUCCCAAUAAACAGAACACAUUUUGUUUUUUUCUGAUUUCUCCUCCGGGGUUUUUACAGGUCCAUAUUGUCUACAAUAAUUAAUCCGAUCUACUGCAACUUCACCCCAUGUCCAAACUUUAUGGCUACUGGCAGAUGAAUCAGAUUGAGAAGCUGCGGGCUGUGAGGGGGAAGAGUGUGGAGUGAAGCCAGGAUCAGUAGAUCCAGUUUGGUCAGUGGAGUUACUGAGGAAUCUAAAAUGUCCCCACUGCGGGGGGACCCGCAUCCCCCUGCCAGGGCUCUGCUGCCACCCACAGCGGGACCCCCCAGAAACACCUCCCAGGGACCCCUGAUGUCCCCUUGAGGGGCAUCUGUGGCUUGGCUUUGAAGCCCUGCCAGCUCCAAACAUCCCCCCCCCAAAAAAAACCCCAAACCCAGGGAUCCCCCCAGGUUAUUUGGGCCGAGUUCCUCCUCCCCAGGCACCUGCAGGAUGGCGGCGAUGGUUCCAGAGCUGUGGUGAGUUCAGGAAGUGCCAGGGCCACGCGGUUCCCCCCUCUCCUCCUGCUUCUUCCUGCUGCUGCUCCGCCUCUUCCUCCUUCCCUCCUCCUCCUCCGCUGGCCCUGAACCCCGAACUGUGACCCCAAGGUCAAUGAAAGGGCGGGAACUGUUAAGGGAAGGGGUGGGGUCAAGGAAUGGGUGGGAACUGUGAGAGGAAAGGGGUGGGGUCAAGGAAAGGGCAGGAACUGAGAGGGGAAGGGGCAGGCUCAAGUGGCCACAUGGUCCUAAAAGGGCCUGGUUUGGCCUAAAAUCAUCCAAGAGGGUGUCAUAUGCAGCCUAAAUCCACCUCUUUUGGCUGAAAAUCAGCCAGAUGGGCCUAAAAUCCCCCAAAGUGGUUUACAAUCCCCACAAAAUGGCUGAAAAUCACCCUUAAAUCUUCCAAAUGGGUGUAAAAUCCAUCUUAAACAUACGUGGUUUGGCCUAAAAUCACCCAAAUGGGCCUAAUAUCCACCCUAAAAUCCACCUGGUUUUGCAUAAAAUCACCAAGACAC